This 253-nucleotide ribosomal RNA is filed under the name uncultured bacterium. RNAcentral describes it as "partial 16S ribosomal RNA". It matches the Rfam family "Bacterial small subunit ribosomal RNA", at positions 524 to 776 of the family's 1533-position model. The record is from RNAcentral.
UACGUAGGGGGCAAGCGUUGUCCGGAUUUAUUGGGCGUAAAGAGCGUGUAGGCGGCCAUGUAGGUCCGUUGUGAAAACUCGAGGCUCAACCUCGAGACGCCGAUGGAAACCAUGUGGCUAGAGUCCGGAAGAGGAGAGUGGAAUUCCUGGUGUAGCGGUGAAAUGCGCAGAUAUCAGGAAGAACACCCGUGGCUAAGGCGGCUCUCUAGUACGGUACUGACGCUGAGACGCGAAAGCGUGGGUAGCAAACAGG